GGAACCUCUGAUGAAGAAGACGACAAUGGUGGAAUUCACCUUCAAAGACCCAUUUUGCCACAGCCGAAACGAGCCAAAUUCGAGAAUUUUCAUCAAGUUGGCAAUCAUGUGCCACUCUACAAGCCUAAUCCAAGUACCAAUCUCCCAGCGCAAGCUUCCCUUCCAGGAAGAUACAUUUCUAAGAGAGAGAGAGCUGCCAUGGAUUCAGUGGAGAAAGUUCCAGACCUCAGCACAACGGUUUCCCCUAACAGUUCACCAGUUUUAGGGAGCAUUUUGGAUUCAGUUCUGCCACAUAAUAUUUUGUCAGCUUUGAGAGAUCA
Molecule: unclassified non-coding RNA, 320 nt
Filed under: Hevea brasiliensis (rubber tree)
Lineage: Eukaryota; Viridiplantae; Streptophyta; Magnoliopsida; Malpighiales; Euphorbiaceae
Source: RNAcentral